RNAcentral lists this transfer RNA (79 nucleotides) under Podarcis lilfordi (Lilford's wall lizard). Its description in RNAcentral is "tRNA.Ile". The stretch from base 12 to 72 matches the Rfam family "tRNA", at positions 7 to 64 of the family's 71-position model. From Rfam's summary of the family: Transfer RNA (tRNA) molecules are approximately 80 nucleotides in length. The record is from RNAcentral. Lineage: Eukaryota; Metazoa; Chordata; Lepidosauria; Squamata; Lacertidae.
GGCCUCGUGGGUUAGCACAGUUGGGUAGAGCAUGGUGCUGAUAAUGCCAAGGUCACAGGUUUGAUCCCUGUAUGGGUCU